UUUACAAGAGUUUAUUCAACUGGUUUCUGACUUUAGUUCUACCAAGUGGGUGCUGAAGAGUUACAAGCUCCUUCGGGUUCAAUUACAGCCAAUCUAAUAAAACAAACAACCAAAAAGGGAAACAAACAUAAAAGGGAAAAAAAGAAAAAAAAGAAACAACUUGGAAAAACAAUAAGAAAAUCCACAACUUUUUCACGUGUCAUUAAAUAUAUUCAUAUAUAAUAACCAUAAUAUAUUAGUAUGCAUUGUAAAGAAACAUCGCCCAAAGCAGUGUGCAAUGGUCAGAACUAAACAACAUUUACAGUUCAAGAUAUUAACAGAAAUAAUAAAAAAACAAACCAAAACAACAAACCAGGAACAGGGGCUUUGAGAGGGGAGAGGAGGCGGUGGCAGGGAGAGGGCACGGACACGGAACGAACAGAAACGAGACGAAACCACGUCUGUCGGGUGCUACCGGCGAGUGAUGAUUGUUUUGGCAUUUCAGCUGCUCUCCAAAGCCACGCUGAGGCACCACAGCCCCUCCCCGGCCACCCCCUCCACCUCCCGAGGACUUCGGUCCUGUCCCAGGGCAAUGGCUGGGCGCUGAGCGGUUGGUUGUGGUGCGGUUGGUACCCAACAGAGCUGCACCCCCGGGCGCGGGGGUUGAUGUUCAGGGAUUGACAUCUGGUCCCUCUUUGGGAGACUGGACAGAGGUGUCUCCGCGGGAGCAGGGGUGGCUGCAGGGAAGAAUUGUAUCCCCAGACACCCCAAAACAGGGGCUGCUGUGCCUCCCCCAGAGGGGAUGGGCUAUGCACCAGUUACACCAGCAGCUCUGCAGGUCGAGGUUACUAGGAGCAUGUGAGGGGCACUGGGGGACCGUGGGCAGAGUGAAGGAGCUUCUCUAUUCUGGUUGAAAAGCACAGAACUCCAGCAGGGAUCAAGGGAUGGAGUCCUGGUGGGACAGCGAUGGGGACCUCGCUUCUGUGGGUGACUCUGGCCGUGGUGGGCUCUGAGUUGUUUUGUGUCUUGUGCAAAUUCCAUUUCCUUCUGAUUUCCCAGGUUGUGUCGGUGCUUGGAGGGGUCCGGCCAUGGCGGGGGCGAUGUUUCUUCUGCAGCCUCCCAAACUAGUGGGACUGGGGAAGGGACAGAGGCUUGUCCCUGGGUGGAUUUGGGUGGUGUCAAGGCUGAGCUGGGGAGGAUGGCUGUGCUUGCCAAGGUUGGAAAAUGGGAGUAAGCAUUGGAUGUCCAGGCAUGCUCAAAGGGCAUUUCUCAAGUUCCUCUGUCCCUUGGCUUUGCCUUCCUUCUCUCCCAAUGGGUUGGAUCUGGUUGCUUUUAGGCCAUUUGAAGAUCUCCCAUGGUUCAAAGGCAUCCCGGCUGACCAAGGACAAGCUGUCUCCAGCUGGCGCGAGGUGUCCAUGGCAUCAGUUGAUGCUCGCCACGGCAGAGCACCCAAACCCCCUUUGGGGCUUAAAGCCUCCAUUUAGACAUUUUGGGUCAGAUUUCAUCUUUCAAAACUCAGUGGCUUGGGUUCCCUUGACAGCAAAACUGUUGGUUCUCCUUGAGCUCUGAAGGAAGGAAAACUGAGCCUGCUCUGGAUAAGGGGAGAGAAUAUGGACCUGUAGGGGGGUUGCUUGAUGGCCAGGGUGGGAUUUCUCUGCUAAUAUCCAAACCGAUUUCGGAGGGGGCUUGUGGCUGCAGCAGAGCUUGCUGCCUCCGGGUGGUGUCUCCAGCAGCCUGGCAUUGGCUGGUGCUUCCCCAGGAGCCCUCCACUUUACACCUAUUUACAUGGCUGCCUCACUUUAUGGUGGUUUAUGUCAUUAUAUAAAUAUUGUCAAUUGCUAUAAAACAAGGCAAAACCACUGGAAAAUGUCAUAAAAUAGAUGUUUCCAAGUUUCCUAAAAGGAGAAAUAUCAGGGAGGUUUUGCCUUUCGUAGCAACUAGUGUUCGCUUCUCCUCCAGGUACCCGCCUUGCCCUCCCUGCCUUUCUGCCC
Molecule: long non-coding RNA, 1970 nt
Filed under: Strigops habroptila (Kakapo)
Lineage: Eukaryota; Metazoa; Chordata; Aves; Psittaciformes; Psittacidae
Description: lncRNA (ENSSHBG00005018323.1)
Source: RNAcentral